CGGUUACGGGGAAUUAGGGUUCAAUUCCGGAGAGGGAGCCUGAGAAACGGCUACCACAUCUAAGGAAGGCAGCAGGCGCGCAAAUUACCCAAUUCUAACAGCAUAAGAGAGGUAGUGACAAGAAAUAACAGUACAAGGCAGUUAAAAUGCUUUGUAAUUGGAAUGAUAGAAAUUUAAAUACUUUUUAAAGUAUCAAUUGGAGGGCAAGUCUGGUGCCAGCAGCCGCGGUAAUUCCAGCUCCAAUAGCGUAUAUUAAAAUUGUUGCAGUUAAAAAGCUCGUAGUUAAAUUUUUGCUAAAAAUAACCGGUCUGCUUUUAUUAAUAAAAGUGGUAUCUUGGUGUGUUUUUAGCAAUAAUGUCCUUUGAAAUGUUUUUUACUUUAUUGUAAAAAGCAAUUUUCAGGAUUUUUACUUUGAGAAAAUUAGAGUGUUUCAAGCAGGCUAACGUUUUGAAUACUGCAGCAUGGAAUAAUAAAAUAGGAUUUUAGUUCUACGUUAUUGGUUUUAAGAA
RNAcentral lists this ribosomal RNA (509 nucleotides) under Hepatozoon sp. BT-2014. RNAcentral's name for it is "bacterial SSU rRNA". It matches the Rfam family "Eukaryotic small subunit ribosomal RNA", at positions 356 to 856 of the family's 1831-position model. Lineage: Eukaryota; Apicomplexa; Hepatozoidae. The record is from RNAcentral.